Molecule: ribosomal RNA, 519 nt
Filed under: uncultured bacterium
Lineage: Bacteria
Description: bacterial SSU rRNA
Rfam family: Bacterial small subunit ribosomal RNA
Source: RNAcentral
GAUGAACGCUGGCGGCGUGCCUAAUACAUGCAAGUCGAACGCUGAUUAUCGAAAGCUUGCUUUUGAUAUGAUGAGUGGCGGACGGGUGAGUAACACGUGGGUAACCUGCCCUAAAGUGGGGGAUAACAUUUGGAAACAGAUGCUAAUACCGCAUAAACCUCAAAAGCACAUGCUUUUGAGUUGAAAGAUGGCGUAAGCUAUCGCUUUUGGAUGGACCCGCGGCGUAUUAGCUAGUUGGAGAGGUAAAGGCUCACCAAGGCUGUGAUACGUAGCCGACCUGAGAGGGUAAUCGGCCACAUUGGGACUGAGACACGGCCCAAACUCCUACGGGAGGCAGCAGUAGGGAAUCUUCCACAAUGGACGAAAGUCUGAUGGAGCAACGCCGCGUGAGUGAAGAAGGUUUUCGGAUCGUAAAACUCUGUUGUUGGAGAAGAACGUACGUGAGAGUAACUGUUCACGUAGUGACGGUAUCCAACCAGAAAGCCACGGCUAACUACGUGCCAGCAGCCGCCGUAAAAC